This 253-nucleotide ribosomal RNA is filed under the name uncultured bacterium. RNAcentral describes it as "partial 16S ribosomal RNA". It matches the Rfam family "Bacterial small subunit ribosomal RNA", at positions 524 to 776 of the family's 1533-position model. The record is from RNAcentral.
UACGAAGGGGGCUAGCGUUGCUCGGAAUCACUGGGCGUAAAGGGUGCGUAGGCGGGUCUUUAAGUCAGGGGUGAAAUCCUGGAGCUCAACUCCAGAACUGCCUUUGAUACUGAAGAUCUUGAGUUCGGGAGAGGUGAGUGGAACUGCGAGUGUAGAGGUGAAAUUCGUAGAUAUCGGGAGGAACACCGGUGGCGAAGGCGGCGGCCUGGGUUGACACUGACGCUGAGGCGCGAAAGCCAGGGGAGCAAACGGG